AUGGUUGAACUUCAAAGGAAUGUUAUGUUUCCUGCCGUUUAUCACCUCAUUGAGUUGGCAUUGCUACUACCGGUAGCGAUGGCAACAGUUGAAAGAGCCUUCUCAUCAAUGAAAAUCAUCGACACUGAGUUGUGCAGCAAGAUGUCUGAUGCCUGGUUUAAUGACUUGAUGGUGUGUUACAUUGAG
Molecule: ribosomal RNA, 186 nt
Filed under: Triticum aestivum (bread wheat)
Lineage: Eukaryota; Viridiplantae; Streptophyta; Magnoliopsida; Poales; Poaceae
Description: partial small subunit ribosomal RNA
Source: RNAcentral